CCCUGGACCCGACGCGAUCUCGCCCUGGCGCGGUGUCCGUUAAUCCCAUGGCAGUUCUGGUGAGAUUUUGGGAAGGGGAGGUCGAUGGAUUUGUGCGCUCUCUGAGCCGAAUUCUCCGACGAUCCGUGGUUUAGAGAUGGGCUUUUUGAGUCCGGAUUGCGGAUUCGGAGUUUCUGGGUGGCUGGCCGCUCUAGCGGAGGAGCGCCAGGGGAUUGGGUGCCGUUGCGUGUUCUACUGCUGUGGUACUGGUUCCUGUGCGGUGUCUGCGUCCAGAUCUCCAACAUGUUCGUCCUGUGUUAGGCUGUGACCCUAAAUUAUUCUGAAAAUCAGUUUCAGUGCUGAAAAUCGAUUUCAUUUGUUCUGUUGGUACACGCGUUAGGUGCUCCGUUAGGUAUUUAGUGCGCAGUCUGUUCAGCAAAUGAAUCAAUCUUUAUAAGGUCGUACUGAAGGUUUUGUUGUGGUGCUGUUUAUUCACCAAAUGUGCAAUCAAGCUCUUGUCCCAAUUUGGUAGGGCUAUGCGAAUUCCACCCUCUGUCCUGCUACUUGUUAGUCUAUCAUGGAACCUCUAGAGAUCAGCAUAGUGGAUGGUUGUAAACAUAGAAUAUCUUUGCAGCUUGCUUGAUGGGAAACAUUCAGUGUUUAAGUCCCGGGUAAUGGUUUCUGCCCUUUGCCCUUAGAUUGGGUGAAGUAUCUUAGCUUUUGUACUACCUUUCCCCAACCCUUCUUUCUUUUGUUGCUGUGUAUACUUUUCCCAACUCCAUUUUCUUCGGAUAGUGCUUCAUGAAGGGAAUAGUCAAGCACAUGUGCAUCCAUGUUGCAUCAGCUUUUGAUUUUCAGGGUGUAGGCAACAAAAUUAGAGGAGUUAUUUUUUUGUAGGCAACACAGAUAAAGAUAAGUAGGCAAAAUACUGCAUAUAAUCUCAGCAUCUGUACUGCCUCAAUAGGCAAUACUGUAAUAUCUGUGUUCGUCUAGCUUUUUUUCAGCAUCUCUGUUCACAAGGGGUGCGGGCAGGCAAUAUAUGUGUUCAGCAGGCAAAACAAUAAUAAUAUGUGGGUUCAUAUUGGUAGCUAUUUAUCAGCAACUGUUUUCUUUAGUAGGCAACAGAUUUUUUUCAUUGGGCAAUACUGUAAUAUCCUAUAGUUCGACAAGCUCCGCCUUCCCUUCCACUUCCACAUGCAUACCUCUCUGAACGCAACUCGUCAAUCGAAUUGAUGUCCUGCAACUGCAAUCAAUCAGCAGUAAGCAUCAUUUAGGUGUUUUGAUCCCGUGUGCCCGGUCUUGUUGUUGUUUCAGUCAGUGUGCCACGCGCUCGACAAGCAUGUUAAGAGCAGGGUCUACUUCAAGGUAUGUACCAACACUCUUCUACCUGGCACGGCAAUAGCUUUUUCAAUCUACCCAACACCGUACCCAGCACCACUGUCAACAAAGACUUCUCCUCGGGGAAGAAGGGUAUUCAAAAUUCAUCUCUUAACCUGCAAUGUCUCAGUAGUUACUUGCCAUUGCUGCUACAAAACUUAUGUUGUUGCUUGUUGGCCUGUCCCUUGCUAUCUGAAGUAUAUAUUUUUUGACUGUCGCUCAUUCAUUAUCUGAAGAAUUUUAUGUAGGUAGUCUUAAUGUGUGUUUAGCUUUCAGUUUUUACUUCUACUUCACAGAGUAGAAGAUCACAAGAGAACAUUGGCUGAUCUUUAACAAUUAUUCUUAGAGUAACCCAGAGCAGUAUUCGAUAUUGUGAGUCACUGAAAAUGUAUACUGUUUUUUUCUUCAGGAUAUGGAUGAAUAUCUGAAGGGAUGUAGGAUUCUUCCCAAACUUAACAACGAGAUACUAGGUGAAAGAAAUGCUCCCUACAAGGAAAGGUUGAGCAGCCUAGAGAAAUUAGUACUGAUCAUGGUAAGGUUGACAAAGCCUGAAAUCUCAUUUUGAUCCAGGUUCAAAGAUUACAUGGUAGCAUAUAUACUUGAAGUUGGCAUGGAAUAUCAAAGCUCAAAUACACAGGGGUGAUCGAUGCGGACUACUAAGACCUGGUGGGCGCCGUGCUCUUCAACCACUCGGAUUAUUGUACAGGUGAUUGUGAUGCUGGAGGUCGCCGAGGUGGAGGACCUUGACGCCGCCGUCUGGAGGUCGUCGAGGUGGAGGACCUCGACGCCACCGUCUGGAGGUUACCGAGGUGAAGGAACUUGGCGCCUUGGUAGAUACAUGUAAAGAAGUGGUCUACUUAGGUUGGUGGUGGAAUGCUAGGGAAGGUACCCACCUUUCGGUGCUAGUUGUGUGCGCUUGAUGUAUGAGUGGGAUCUCGUGAUCUCUUCGAGUUGAGAUGUUCAAUAUUGUAUCCAUGAACGCUGCAAGUGCUUAGAAUGCAAGGGCUAAGAUGGUUAUGUGACCUUCGUUUAUUUUGCACUGGAUGUGUCCUGAUUUC
Triticum dicoccoides is the source of this 2414-nucleotide long non-coding RNA. RefSeq lists it as uncharacterized. The transcript is spliced from 2 exons. NCBI's taxonomy places the organism in Eukaryota, Viridiplantae, Streptophyta, Magnoliopsida, Poales, Poaceae. The record is from RefSeq and is a predicted model, not a curated record.